RNAcentral lists this ribosomal RNA (459 nucleotides) under uncultured bacterium. RNAcentral describes it as "partial 16S ribosomal RNA". It matches the Rfam family "Bacterial small subunit ribosomal RNA", at positions 338 to 795 of the family's 1533-position model. The record is from RNAcentral.
CCUACGGGGCGCAGCAGUGAGGAAUAUUGGUCAAUGGCCGAGAGGCUGAACCAGCCAAGUCGCGUGAGGGAAGACGGCCCUACGGGUUGUAAACCUCUGUUGUCGGGGAGCAAAGCGAACCACGUGUGGUUCAUUGAGAGUACCCGAAGAAAAAGCAUAGGCUAACUCCGUGCCAGCAGCCGCGGUAAUACGGAGGAUGCGAGCGUUAUCCGGAUUUAUUGGGUUUAAAGGGUGCGGAGGCGGAGGUGCAAGUCAGCGGUCAAAUUGCGGGGCUCAACCCCGUACUGCCGUUGAAGCUGCAUCCCUUGAGUGCGCGAGAAGUAUGCGGAAUGCGUGGUGUAGCGGUGAAAUGCAUAGAUAUCACGCAGAACUCCGAUUGCGAAGGCAGCAUACCGGCGCGCAACUGACGCUCAUGCACGAAAGCGUGGGUAUCGAACAGGAUUAGAUACCCCAGUAGUC